ACCCUUAGAUGUUCUGGGCCGCACGCGCGCUACACUGAUGCAUUCAACGAGCCUAAAACCUGGUCUGAUAGGGCUGGGUAAUCUUUUGAAAGUGCAUCGUGAUUGGGAUAGAUGAUUGCAAUUCUUCAUCUUCAACGAGGAAUGCCUAGUAAACGCAAGUCAUCAGCUUGCAUUGAUUACGUCCCUGCCCUUUGUACACACCGCCCGUCGCUCCUACCGAUUGAAUGAUCCGAUGAAUACCAUGGAUUGAGAGUACGAAUAGGUUCGCUUAUUUCUGCUACUCAAGAAGUGGAGUAAAUCUUAUCAUUUAGAGGAAGGAGAAGUCGUAACA
Molecule: ribosomal RNA, 331 nt
Filed under: uncultured eukaryote
Lineage: Eukaryota
Description: partial 18S ribosomal RNA
Rfam family: Eukaryotic small subunit ribosomal RNA
Source: RNAcentral